GCUAUCUUGGCCGAGUGGUUAAGGCGGCAGACUUAAGCAGAUCCCAUGCAUACUUCUGCUAUCGAAAGAUGCGCAGGUUCGAACCCUGCAGAUAGCA
This is a non-coding RNA of Xylariaceae sp. FL0016, 97 nucleotides long. The record is from the annotation of a GenBank genome assembly. Lineage: Eukaryota; Fungi; Ascomycota; Sordariomycetes; Xylariales; Xylariaceae.